AAGACCUUGCACCUUUGGAGCGGCCGAUGUCUGAUUAGCUAGUUGGUGGGGUAAUGGCCUACCAAAGCUUCGAUCAGUAGCUGGUCUGAGAGGACGGCCAGCCACACUGGGACUGAGACACGGCCCAGACUCCUACGGGAGGCAGCAGUGGGGAAUUUUGGACAAUGGGCGCAAGCCUGAUCCAGCCAUGCCGCGUGAGUGAAGAAGGCCUUCGGGUUGUAAAGCUCUUUCAGCCGGGAAGAAAAGGUUGCGACUAAUAAUCGCAAUCCAUGACGGUACCGAAAGAAGAAGCACCGGCUAACUACGUGCCAGCAGCCGCGGUAAUACGUAGGGUGCAAGCGUUAAUCGGAAUUACUGGGCGUAAAGCGUGCGCAGGUGGUUUUGUAAGUCAGAUGUGAAAUCCCCGGGCUUAACCUGGGAACU
Molecule: ribosomal RNA, 423 nt
Filed under: uncultured bacterium
Lineage: Bacteria
Description: bacterial SSU rRNA
Rfam family: Bacterial small subunit ribosomal RNA
Source: RNAcentral